CCCGCGGAACUUAAGCAUAUCAAUAAGCGGAGGAAAAGAAACCAACAGGGAUUGCCUUAGUAACGGCGAGUGAAGCGGCAACAGCUCAAAUUUGAAAGCUGGCCCUUUUAGGGUCCGCAUUGUAAUUUGUAGAGGAUGAUUCGGCGAGGGCUCCUGCCUAAGUCCCCUGGAACGGGGCGUCAUAGAGGGUGAGAAUCCCGUAUGCGGUAGGUUGCCUUAGCCAUGUGAAUCUCCUUCGACGAGUCGAGUUGUUUGGGAAUGCAGCUCUAAAUGGGAGGUAAAUUUCUUCUAAAGCUAAAUACCGGCCAGAGACCGAUAGCGCACAAGUAGAGUGAUCGAAAGAUGAAAAGCACUUUGGAAAGAGAGUUAAAAAGUACGUGAAAUUGUUGAAAGGGAAGCGCUUGCAACCAGACUUGUCCGCAGUUGCUCAGCCGGUCUCCUGACCGGCGUACUCUUCUGCGGCCAGGCCAGCAUCAGUUCGGGCGGUCGGAUAAAGGCCUCGGGAAUGUGGCUCCUCUCGGGGAGUGUUAUAGCCCGGGGUGCAAUGCGGCCAGCCUGGACUGAGGAACUCGCUUCGGCAAGGAUGCUGGCGUAAUGGUUGUAAGCGGCCCGUCUUGAAACACGGACCAAGGAGUCUAACAUCUAUGCGAGUGUUCGGGUGUCAAACCCGUACGCGUAAUGAAAGUGAACGGAGGUGGGAACCCGCAAGGGUGCACCAUCGGCCGAUCCUGAUGUCUUCGGAUGGAUUUGAGCAAGAGCAUAGCUGUUGGGACCCGAAAGAUGGUGAACUAUGCCUGAAUAGGGUGAAGCCAGAGGAAACUCUGGUGGAGGCUCGCAGCGGUUCUGACGUGCAAAUCGAUCGUCAAAUUUGGGUAUAGGGGCGAAAGACUAAUCGAACCAUCUAGUAGCUGGUUCCUGCCGAAGUUUCCCUCAGGA
Molecule: ribosomal RNA, 936 nt
Filed under: Macrovalsaria megalospora
Lineage: Eukaryota; Fungi; Ascomycota; Dothideomycetes; Dothideales
Description: eukaryotic LSU rRNA
Rfam family: Eukaryotic large subunit ribosomal RNA
Source: RNAcentral